RNAcentral lists this unclassified non-coding RNA (936 nucleotides) under Hevea brasiliensis (rubber tree). Lineage: Eukaryota; Viridiplantae; Streptophyta; Magnoliopsida; Malpighiales; Euphorbiaceae. The record is from RNAcentral.
AAAAAAGAGAAAGAUUGGGUUGGGAGUAACGGCGAUGAUUGGAGAAUCUUCUAGACAUAUGAAAUUUGUGGAUUAGGGCUUUUAAUCGGCGAAAAAAUGGGGCGAAGGAAGGUAGAAAUUAAGCGAAUUCAAGAUAAAAAUUGCAGGCAAGUUGCGUUCUGUAAACGGAGGAAGGGUUUAUUGAAGAAAGCUAAAGAAAUUUCUAUUCUCUGCGAUGUCGAUGUUGCUGUUGUUAUCAUCUCAAAUCGUGGUAGACUCCAUGAAUUCUCCAGCAAUAACAGUAUGACAGCGAUGCUUCGACGAUAUGAAAGCCAUGUUGGAGCAGAAAAAGAGAUCAAUGCAGAAAUCCAGGUCGCAGAGGUGUCGGGGUUCACAACAAUGGGAGAACUGCUACAAACAACAGAAAGGCAACUCGAGGAAACAAAUGCUGAUGGUCUCACUUUGACUGACCUUAUCCAUUUGGAAAACGAACUUCAAACUGCUCUAAUACAUCUCAGAGCUAGAAAGACACAUUUGAUGCUUGAAUCUGCUAAGGUUCUUCAUGAGAAGGAAAAACUGCUGCUAGAGGAAAAGAAACAUCUGGAGGACAAUAUAGCUAGUAUCAAGAAAAACACAAAAGUGAAUGAAAUGUCUGACCUUCCAGCACCCCACAUGAUUUGUGGACAACAAAAAGUUACCCUGAAUUUCUUCUAGUGAUUAUCGUCGUAUUCGUCGAAAAGCCUUGCUUCUGCACCAGAGGAACCUGCAAAAUUAGUUUCAAUAAAACUAAUAAUUAUUCAUCCUUGUUCUUGUUUCUAAUGGAUGAUGAUUAAAGUUAACUUCUCUACUUUGACAUAUUUACUAGAGGGUGACUUAUAUGCCUAUUUUUCCCUCUUUUUAAGUUGUAUAAUGGAGUACUUGAAAUUGAUUACCCUACACAUUAUUGUUAUGAUUUUU